RNAcentral lists this ribosomal RNA (508 nucleotides) under uncultured bacterium. RNAcentral describes it as "partial 16S ribosomal RNA". It matches the Rfam family "Bacterial small subunit ribosomal RNA", at positions 28 to 523 of the family's 1533-position model. The record is from RNAcentral.
GAUGAACGCUAGCUACAGGCUUAACACAUGCAAGUCGAGGGGAAACGAUAGGGAAAGCUUGCUUUUUCUAGGCGUCGACCGGCGCACGGGUGAGUAACGCGUAUCCAACCUGCCCACCACUUGGGGAUAACCUUGCGAAAGUAAGACUAAUACCCAAUGAUAUAUCUAGAAGACAUCUGAAAGGGAUUAAAGAUUUAUCGGUGAUGGAUGGGGAUGCGUCUGAUUAGCUUGUUGGCGGGGUAACGGCCCACCAAGGCUACGAUCAGUAGGGGUUCUGAGAGGAAGGUCCCCCGCAUUGGAACUGAAAAACGGUCCAAACUCCUACGGGACGCAGCAGUGAGGAAUAUUGGUCAAUGGACGAGAGUUUGAACCAGCCAAGUAGCGUGCAGGAUGACGGCCCUAUGGGUUGUAAACUGCUUUUAUAAGGGAAUAAAGUGAGUCUCGUGAGACUUUUUGCAUGUACCUUAUGAAUAAGGACCGGCUAAUUCCGUGCCAGCCGCCGCGGUAA